AGCGAAAGUUACGCUAAUACCGCAUACGAUCUAAGGAUGAAGGCAGGGGAUCUUCGGACCUUGUGCUCCUGGAGCGGCCGAUAUCUGAUUAGCUAGUUGGUGAGGUAAAGGCUCACCAAGGCCACGAUCAGUAGCUGGUCUGAGAGGACGACCAGCCACACUGGAACUGAGACACGGUCCAGACUCCUAUGGGAGGCAGCAGUGGGGAAUUUUGGACAAUGGGCGAAAGCCUGAUCCAGCAAUGCCGCGUGAGUGAAGAAGGCCUUCGGGUUGUAAAGCUCUUUUGUCAGGGAAGAAACGUCUGGGCUAAUACCCUGGGCUAAUGACGGUACCUGAAGAAUAAGCACCGGCUAACUACGUGCCAGCAGCCGCGGUAAUACGUAGGGUGCAAGCGUUAAUCGGAAUUACUGGGCGUAAAGCGUGCGCAGGCGGUUUUGUAAGUCUGACGUGAAAUCCCCGGGCUCAACUGGGAAUUGCGUUGGAGACUGCAAGG
This 493-nucleotide ribosomal RNA is filed under the name Massilia aurea. RNAcentral's name for it is "bacterial SSU rRNA". It matches the Rfam family "Bacterial small subunit ribosomal RNA", at positions 150 to 640 of the family's 1533-position model. The record is from RNAcentral. Lineage: Bacteria; Pseudomonadati; Pseudomonadota; Betaproteobacteria; Burkholderiales; Oxalobacteraceae.